UCUCAUCUCUUCCCAGGGCCUGGUUUGGCCAGGCAUUUCCAAAGAGCAGCCCCUCUGCUGAGCAGACCCGACGGGCCUGAGGAGGUAGCACCAGGCAUGGCUGGGUGGCAGUUGGGACUCAUUAGUUGGGACUAAUCUGGAGAGGAGGGAGCCCUUUGAUCAGAGAGCAUCCGGAAGGUGGCCCGUUCUCCAGCUCUGGGCUGGAGGGGGCCGGCCCCCCCAAGACCGCUCGCACACUGAGCCCCAGGCCCGCGCUGGGGCUGCCCACACCUGGCCCCAGGGCCGAGGGGAACAAAUGAGGACAAAGUGAGGCCGGCCUCGUGCUUCGGACUCAGCUGCCCUCUUUACUGACAGGCCCACCCGUUCCUUGCGGCCGCCUCCAACCCUCUUGUUCCAAAUACCGCUUCUUUUGUGAAGUGCUGGUAACAGUACACGGUAGCUGAUGUUUUGUUUUUGUUUUCAAUGUUCUUUCUUGGCAAAAUAUACAGUUGGCCCCCUCUGACAGGAACUAAAGUUGAUUUUUGACAGUUUAAUUGUUUGCGAAAUCCACGGGCCCAGGACUUUUAGGGAUCCUCUCACUUAAUUCCCCCACACCCCCCAUGGAAGAAGGGAGGUCGCCGUGCCCAUUCGAGGGAUGGAGAAACUGCUGACGGGGAGGGACCGGCCCCCGAGCUCACCCCGGGGGUGGGGGUGGGGUCUCACCAGCCCCCCUUCCUACCCCCCGCCCUUCCCCCAAGACCAGCCACCCCUCUCCAGGAAGGGGGCCUUGUUCUCCCAUCAAGCCAGCACCAGAAGCGGUCACCCCAAGCCAGGGCUUCUCCCCGGCACCCCCUGAACCUGUGGCUGCCCCCCUCCAGCCUUCCCCCGGCUCCCUGGGUCAGGCCUCCCCAGACGCGUCCCUCCUGGCCCAGCCGGCCCUCGGGCCGCCCCUCCAGGACCAGGCUCUGGCCCACAGCCAUGGGGACUUGGCCUGGGCUGGUGAGCCAGGGGGGUCCCAGGCCACGCUGCCUGGGCUGCCGGCAGCCCACUGUCCUGAAAUGGCCCCGACCAAAGGGCCCCACGGCAGUUACUCAAUGACAAUGAGGACAAGUUGUUUGCCAUGGCCCCGGGCCAAGGGCUGGGACUGUGGCCUUGCCUCGCCUCCGCCUCCAGAGACAUCUGGGAAGGGGGUGUGGCCGCACAGGCCGCGGGCAGCUGCGUCUUCAGCUCUGCAGGGCCACCGCCCUGGUCAGGGGCCCCUCCCCAGGCUCCUCCAGGAAACGAAACUCUGCAGGUUGGCCGUCCCGGCCCCAGCGGAUCCCCUCACCCAAUUUCCCUAAAGUCCAGCCGGAUCCCAUCCUCCCCUGUGCUCCGGCCGUGCCCUCUGCCGGGAAAGCCUCACCUCCCACCAUGGCCACGGGAUCCAGAAACGGCUGCGGGUCCCAGUGCCCACAGCAACAGCAGCUCCUCCAGUGCCCGUCCAGUGUCCCCCAGGAGGGAGCCCCGGGAGCUCUCUCCAUGCUCUGAGUUCCUGUGACUCCCUCCUCAGAGCCUCAGUGUGUUCCUCUUUCUUUUAUUUUUAUUUUUAUUUAUUUAUUUAUUUUUUGCUCUUUAGGACCGCAGGUGCGGCAUAUGGAAGUUCCCAGGCUCAGGGUCACAUCGGAUCUACACCACAGCUCAUGGCAGCACCAGAUCCUUAACCCCACGAGCAAGGCCAGGGAUCGAAGCCACAUCCUCAUGGAUACUAGUUGGAUUCAUUUCCACUGAGCCACGACGGGCCCUCCAGAGCCUCAGUGCUUUCAUCUGUAAAACAGACAGAGUACAAGUGCCCAGCACAGCAGGUGGUAAGGACAGGACAAAUGAGACAGUUCCUGAAAAAUCCCAACUACUCACACUUGGUCGCUGCACAGGAAAGGCUACUUAGUAUCAUUGUUACUGUUAUGAGUGUCACUAUUAUUAUGGAUUUCCUACCAUUGCUAUUAUUAUGAUUACUGGGUUUCCCCAUCAUGGGGGCAGGCGUUGCCCUUCUCCCGCCCACCCCACCAAAGCUGGUCUCCCCUGGGCUCUGCUGCACCCACCCACUUUCUCCACGCCCCACCUUCCCUGAGCAAUCCCACCCACCCCCAUGGCCUUGGCCACCACCCACGGCUGUCUCUGGGCCCACUGUCCCGGCUCCCUCAGGGCCUCAGCACUGCCAUGACCCCACCUCCUCCCGCCCCACAGAUUCUGCUGCUUGGGUGCUGGGAAAUCUUUUCCGCCCCAGAUGGUAGCAAAUCCUGUAUCCUGUAGGAAUGCCUUGGGCUGCAAAUAAUAGAAGUCCCAGUGAAUGGGGACUUAACCAAAGAGGGGUUUGUUUCUCCAGUGUCACAAGGAGCCUGGGUUCCCCUGCUGCUGGCACUGGUGCAACGCCCUAGACCCACCCCUGUUGAUUUCUCUUGACUUUGACCUCAUUGUUGCAAGACGGCUGCCCAAGCUCCAAACACCAAGUUCUCAGAGAGCAUCCAAAGGCAGGAAGCAGGGAGAGGUGCAGGGCGGGCUUUCCCCUUUACAUAUCUUCUCAUGUCACAUAUCUUCCCUUCCCAGGGGACAAAACCUUUCCCCAAACCCUCCAGGAGACAUCUCGAAUCUGGUCCCCUGCAUGUCACUGGCCAGACCUGACUCUCAGGGCCGCUCCUGGCCAGAAGACCAUUUCCUACCUGACGAAUGGCUCCACCAGGUGCCCAUCACCUGGGCCAGAACCCGGACCCUCCCACCUCCCCAUCCGUCCUUCCUUCUCCACACCCCGUCCUUCUUUCCUCCUGUCCUGGCCCCAGGCCCCUGUCUGCAGCCCACUGACCAGGAGGAGUGGGUUUUCUUUCUCCUCUUUUCUUUUUUUUUUUUUUUUUUUUUUUUUUUUAGGGCCACACUGCGGCAUAUGGAGGUUCCCAGGCUAGGGGUCUAAUCAGAGCUGUAGCCACCGGCCUACACCAGAGCCACAGCAACGCGGGAUCUGAGCCGUGUCUGUGACCUACACCACAGCUCACAGCAACGCUGGAUCCUUAACCCACUGAGCAAGGCCAGGGAUCCAACCCGCAUCUUCAUGGACACUGGGCAGGUUUGACACUGCUGAGCCAUGAGAAGUCGGCAGAGUGAUGUUUUUCAAUCCAGAUUUUUUUCAUGACUCCUGCACCGGUCCAGGCUAUCUUUCUUACCUACUCCUACUUUGCCAGUGGAAGCCUGCAGACUUAAAAUUCCCCCAGAUGCCACUCUAGAUGAAGUCCCAGGACGGCCUGAGGGAAUGGGGCCGUCAGCUGGGGGCGAGGUGGGAGCCAGCUGAGAGCAUUAGCACCACAAGGACACUGAGCGUGUUUCCAUGGGAACGAUGGCAUCCACCUGAUGGGCAAGGGAGCUGAGGUAUUGAUCUACCUGUUCCCAAGGCCAUGGCUGAGAUCUGCCGCGGGGGUGGGACAGGGCGGGGCCUUGGUUCUCUGGCGCAUCUGACCCAACCUGGUCCCUUGGGCAAAGGGAUGCAGGUGCCAGGGGGCAGUAGGACAGGGCGAGUGGAAUUCCCGUCCUGCAGUUGCCUGCCCAGCUCUCCCUCUACUCGCCUCUCAGGAUGGUCCCCUCCCCUCCCCCACCCACCCAACCCCCAGCCCCGCCCAGCCAGCCUCACCCCUUCUCCCCAAGCCCCAGGUCUACUCUGGCUUGAACCCUGGGUCAGUCUUUAACCUUCACCUUUGCUGGGGCUGCAGGCCUGGGGACCUACCCUGACCCUGGGGAGGGGAGGCAGGAGGGGAGAGGGGAAGGGGAGCCAGGAAGCACCAUCCCCGACCCCUGGGCACAGUCCCAGCCGGUCACCGGGGUGUCCCCUCCCUCCACUGGGAGCUGGGGAUGGAGCUGGAGUCUGUGGCCGAGCACAUUGGAGGAGGAGGAGCAGGAGGAAGCACAGGACAGCCCAGCCCAUCCUCAGAGCAUGUGAGACCACAGCCCUGAUGAGAUCUUGGAGCCACCAGGGCUGGGCUCGAACGCCCCAUCAGCUGUAGAACUCCACUGCAGGCACUCCUGCGGCCCUCAGUCUCCUCGUCAGGAGAAUGGGUUUGGUAACACCGCGGGCACAGGCGGGCUUCGAGGAAGGCAGGUGGUAUUCACACAUGGGGAAGGCAGGAAAGCCCGCGGCUCCUGGACCUGGGGGCGGGUUAACGAGGGAGGGGCCGCCCUAGCCAUCCCCCUCCAUCCCCCGCAGCCCACCACAGCUGCCCUGCCUCUCUUCAGCCUGCGAAGCCCAGCCCUGAUGGCAUCUCCGAGUGCCAGGCAGAGAGGGCCACCUCCUCCACCCCACGUGGCCCCGAUCUCAGGGGCUGUGGGCUGCGAGCAUCUGCGUCCUGGCCAGUCGCCCCACCAGACCGGCAGCUCCGCCAGGAAGGUCCAGAGCCUCCCCCUGGCCCCAACACUUGCCCAGGGCUCCAAGUGGGGGAGGGAGUGCCCCCUCCACCGCAGCCCCCCGGCCCCCACCCCCCUGUCCACGUUCUCCAACCCCUCCCUCAGGCCCCACCCCGCCUGGCAGCCUCAAGUCACAGUCCAAGCACAGACCCAGGGCAGGGAGCACCCAGGCUCUCGGGGGUUAAGGCAGCAGGGGAACCUGUGACAAGCGGGGCUGGGGUUUGCGGUGUGGCCUUUGAGGCCAUUCCCCAGAUUCCUCGUCUUCUCACUCAAGGUGAGAUCUGAGAGAUGGGACACCCCUUCGAGGCCAUCUGAGGUGGGAAGGUGGGGGCCCAGAGAGGGCAGAGCUGUGUCCGAGGUGGCACGGCCAGCUCACACCAGGCUGGGCACAGAGCCUGUGGCUCCCAGCCCGGGGGCCCCCUCCUCACCCCCACUCCAUGCGGCAAACCUCCAGGAGCAGAACCAGCCUUAGAGACUUCCCUGGGUGGUGAGAAGGAGCCGGGGGCUCCUGGGAGACCCACCAGCUCAGCAGUGCGCGCUGGGGGAAGGGCCCAUCACGUGUGGCUCGGGUCCCCGGAGAGAGGGUGGUCGCCUCCCCCCUUCUCCACGUGCCCCAGGCCCACCUAACUGACUCUGGGUGGUGGGAAGGCAGGGGGGACUGGCGCCUGCCCUAGCAGCAGAGGAAGGGCCGCAGGUGCAAGGACCCCCCCACCCCCCCACCCCUGAGGCCCUCCCCAUGCCCACCCCCUCUCCUGGGGUCCGAGGGCUGGUGGGGUCCAGAGCUGGCAGCAAUGUCCCCUGCCGGGUGGUGCCCAUGUGUGGGUUCGGGAUGACUGCAGCUCUCUGGGUGUCUCACUAACAGCCCCCUGGGGUGUGGGCCACUGCGGGCACCCGGGCCCACAAGGCAGAGGGUGGCAGCAGCGACUUGGGUGGAGGCGAGGCCGGGAAAGCCCCAGGCAGGGCUGGGUGGAUGACAGGCGGCCCAGCGCCCAGGCCGAGGACAGGACACUGUGUUUUGAUUAUUUCCAGUUUCCUGACCCCCAAGUCGUGAUUUAAUGUUCCUGUUUACUCCGAGGAUUAGAACAGAAGGCGAGACGGCGAGGCUGGCUUCCUCGGCCUCCCCCCGCGUCACCCCUAAAGUCCCAGCAGGGAAGGGCCUGAGGCAGCCAAGGGUCCCAGGGGAUGCUGGGGUCCCUAGGUACCUCAGGGACCUCGGAUGGGCUCAGGGCUGGCCCCUGAGCAGAGCAGGUCCAUUUGGGGCUUGGAGGGUGUGACCUGCCCACAGGAGGCAGGGCUGGGUGAGCCCGAGACUGUGGGGGUCGGGGCCCGGGGUCCACUUGCCCUGCUCCACCUGGUCAAGGGCAGAUGCUCCCACAUCCCUGGGCCUCCCCAGCAGUAUCUGCGGCUUGGACUUUGGCUGGGACCCUGUCCCCUCUCGGAGGCUGAGUACAUUUCAGGGACGCUCGGCAGCCAGAGCCAGAAGCCUGCGGCUGGCUGGGAGGGGCUCCAGAAGUUGUCAGCCCUGCUCCUCGCUCCCAUAGGGGCCAGCUUGUCAAGCCACCCGAAAUACAGCCACGCAGAGCAGCCUCUGAAGUUGCAGCUACAUAACGGCCGAGAAAAAGAGUUAUAAGCCCUCCGGGGUUGGGGGGGGUGUUUAUAUCAAUACAAGUUCAUGUCGUUGUGG
This 6082-nucleotide long non-coding RNA is filed under the name Sus scrofa (pig). Its description in RNAcentral is "lncRNA (ENSSSCG00000060232.1)". Lineage: Eukaryota; Metazoa; Chordata; Mammalia; Artiodactyla; Suidae. The record is from RNAcentral.